This 253-nucleotide ribosomal RNA is filed under the name uncultured bacterium. Its description in RNAcentral is "partial 16S ribosomal RNA". It matches the Rfam family "Bacterial small subunit ribosomal RNA", at positions 524 to 776 of the family's 1533-position model. The record is from RNAcentral.
UACAGAGGGGGCGAGCGUUGUUCGGAAUUACUGGGCGUAAAGGGCGCGUAGGCGGCCUGCUAAGUCGAACGUGAAAUCCCUGGGCUCAACUUGGGAACUGCGUCUGAUACUGGAUGGCUUGAAUUCGGGAGAGGGAUGCAGAAUUCCAGGUGUAGCGGUGAAAUGCGUAGAUAUCUGGAGGAAUACCGGUGGCGAAGGCGGCAUCCUGGACCGAUAUUGACGCUGAGGAGCGAAAGCCAGGGGAGCAAACGGG